RNAcentral lists this ribosomal RNA (253 nucleotides) under uncultured bacterium. RNAcentral describes it as "partial 16S ribosomal RNA". It matches the Rfam family "Bacterial small subunit ribosomal RNA", at positions 524 to 776 of the family's 1533-position model. The record is from RNAcentral.
UACGUAGGGGGCGAGCGUUAUCCGGAUUCACUGGGUGUAAAGGGAGCGUAGACGGCCAUGCAAGCCAGGGGUGAAAGCCCGGGGCCCAACCCCCGGACUGCUCUGGAAACUAUGUUACUAGAGUGCAGGAGAGGUAAGCGGAAUUCCUAGUGUAGCGGUGAAAUGCGUAGAUAUUAGGAGGAACACCAGUGGCGAAGGCGGCUUACUGGACUGUAACUGACGUUGAGGCUCGAAAGCGUGGGGAGCAAACAGG